UAUACUCCAAUAAAGAUGUUAAAAGAAAAAAGUCACCUUUGCUAUGCCAAUGCCUGAGUUAAUGAGCUGAGAGAAGAAAAGGUCAAAAAGGAGAAACCUAAAGGCAAUGUGAGUUGGGGGGUGAGACAGCUUCUCCUUUUCAGCACUUUCUUCGAAAACUUGGGUCGUUUUAUUUCUCAUUUGCUCAGCCAUGUGUGCUCACUCUCUCCUUUACCUUGAGAGGUGACUGUUAGACAUGCACAAGAGUAGAACAUGAAGGCCUCCAGAUAAAGUAGACACUGACAGGACACACUGAGUCUAAGUCGUUUGUUUUCUUUGACAGGGCUUUACCAGGCUGGAUGGAAGAAGAAAAGACCAUCAGUAAAGCAAAUGGCUCAAGUGGAGUUAUAAAUCGACUCUGUACUCUUCAGAGCAUUUAUUCAACUGAAGACAUACCCAAUUAAGGACCUUAUAGCUUUUUCUUUCCUUUUUGCUUACAUGGAGAAAUACCAGUUAAUAUAAAUUUAAAUCUCAACAACUGGAUCAAUUGGAAUCUAAGGGAUGAUGACAGUGACCUUUUCUGACCCUCAUGACUUCAAUCAACUAGAGCUUGGAUUCUAUCAUCCAAGCCCCUUCAUGAAUAUGCAAGUACCAAUAGCUUAAACUUCCCCAGUUUCGCUGUUCAGAGAGCCACUUCUUUGGGAAAAAUCCCUGGUAUUCUCCUUACUUGCAGCAAGUAAUAAGUCCUUCUCCAGCAA
Lagenorhynchus albirostris (white-beaked dolphin) is the source of this 737-nucleotide long non-coding RNA. RefSeq lists it as uncharacterized. The record is from RefSeq and is a predicted model, not a curated record. Lineage: Eukaryota; Metazoa; Chordata; Mammalia; Artiodactyla; Delphinidae. The transcript is spliced from 2 exons.